This is a non-coding RNA of Ancylostoma duodenale, 46 nucleotides long. Lineage: Eukaryota; Metazoa; Nematoda; Chromadorea; Rhabditida; Ancylostomatidae. The record is from Rfam.
CCAACGGCCCUCUUUAGGGCCACAACUGUUUACGAAUACUGAUGCA